GAUGAACGCUGGCGGCGUGCCUAAUACAUGCAAGUCGAGCGAACAGACGAGGAGCUUGCUCCUUUGACGUUAGCGGCGGACGGGUGAGUAACACGUAGGUAACCUACCUAUAAGACUGGGAUAACUUCGGGAAACCGGAGCUAAUACCGGAUAAUAUUUCGAACCGCAUGGUUCGAUAGUGAAAGAUGGCUUUGCUAUCACUUAUAGAUGGACCUGCGCCGUAUUAGCUAGUUGGUAAGGUAACGGCUUACCAAGGCAACGAUACGUAGCCGACCUGAGAGGGUGAUCGGCCACACUGGAACUGAGACACGGUCCAGACUCCUACGGGAGGCAGCAGUAGGGAAUCUUCCGCAAAGGGCGAAAGCCUGACGGAGCAACGCCGCGUGAGUGAUGAAGGUCUUCUGAUCGUAAAACUCUGUUAUUAGGGAAGAACAAACGUGUAAGUAACUGUGCACGUCUUGACGGUACCUAAUCAGGAAGCCACGGCUAACUACGUG
RNAcentral lists this ribosomal RNA (497 nucleotides) under uncultured bacterium. RNAcentral describes it as "partial 16S ribosomal RNA". It matches the Rfam family "Bacterial small subunit ribosomal RNA", at positions 28 to 507 of the family's 1533-position model. The record is from RNAcentral.